AGCCAUGCAUGUCUAAGUAUAAGCACUUGUACUGUGAAACUGCGAAUGGCUCAUUAAAUCAGUUAUCGUUUAUUUGAUUGUACCUUACUACAUGGAUACCUAUGGUAAUUCUAGAGCUAAUACAUAUGCACAGACCCAACUCUUAGGAAGGGUCGCGCUUACUAGAUUCUGAACCAACCCAGGCUUGCCUGGUCUUGAGUUGACUCAUAGUAACCAGUGAAUCGCGUGCUUCGUGCGGCGAUGUGUCAUUCGAGUUUCUGACCUAUCAGCUUCCGACGGUAGGGUAUUGGCCUACCGUGGCUUUGACGGGUAACGGAGAAUUAGGGUUCGAUUCCGGAGAGGGAGCCUGCGAAACGGCUACCACAUCUNAGGAAGGCAGCAGGCGCGCAAAUUACCCAAUCCUGACAUAGGGAGGUAGUGACAAGAAAUACCAAUACGAGGCAAUCACGUCUAGUAAUUGGAAUGAGCGAGAUUUACAACGCUUCGCGAGUAUCAAUUGGAGGGCAAGUCUGGUGCCAGCAGCCGCGGUAAUUCCAGCUCCAAUAGCGUAUAUUAAAGUUGUUGCGGUUAAAAAGCUCGUAGUUGGAUUUCUGUCGGUGAGUGGCGGUCCGCCCCCUGUGGUGAGCACUCGUCAAGCCACCGGCAUCUUCCUGGGGACUGCGCUGCACUUCACUGUGUGGCGUACUAUCCAGGACGUUUACUUUGAGGAAAUGAGAGUGUUUCAAGCAAGCAUCCGCCAUGAAUACGUUAGCAUGGAAUAAUAGCAUCGGACCUCGAUCUGAAGCUGUUGGUUUCUUGGGUCGAGGUAAAGGUGAAUAGGGAUAGUUGGGGGUGCUAGUAUUCAAUGGCCAGAGGUGAAAUUCUAUGACCCAUUGAAGACUGACUACUGCGAAAGCAUUCACCAAGGAU
This 909-nucleotide ribosomal RNA is filed under the name uncultured eukaryote. RNAcentral's name for it is "SSU rRNA". It matches the Rfam family "Eukaryotic small subunit ribosomal RNA", at positions 47 to 965 of the family's 1831-position model. The record is from RNAcentral.